CAGACUAGAAUAUCCCUUCUCUUUCCAUGGCUGUGGCUGUUCCUUCUGGAUCUCUCCUUGGCUGAAAGUUCUGGAAAAUCUUCACAGCAGCAGGACAAGUUCAUAAAGACCCCAGACCAAUACAGGACAGCGCAUUUCAACAACAACAACAACAGCAACAAAAAAGAGAUAAAGUCCAGUGAUUAAAAGUCAACUGGAAUAUUAAACAGGGCAACAUGGCUCUACUAUGUUACAACAGAGGCUGCGGGGAUCGAUUUGAUGCAGACAAAAACACUGAUGAUGCCUGUCGGUUUCACCCAGGAGUGCCAAUCUUCCACGACGCCUUAAAGGGCUGGUCGUGCUGUAAAAAGCGGACGACAGAUUUCUCGGAGUUCCUGUCAAUCAAGGGCUGCACCCGCGGACGUCACAGUAAUGAGAAGCCGGAAGAGCCUCUGCGGCCUGAGGUCACGUCUGAGAAAGGAGGCAUGAAGCAGCACGGCACAGCAGAGGAGAUCAUCUACCAGGGGCCCAAAUCUGCAGAGGCUCUGGAAAAAGAAAGACCUAGCUCAGAUGAGCCCAAGACAAAGCUGCAGGUGAAGAUCUCUCCAUCUCUGAUUCAGAUCAUGGAGAAAAUGGAGAUCAGCGAGAGAGAGAAGAGAGAGAAGCUCGAGAGUCAAGCUCUUGUGGUUGGGAUUAAGUGCAAAAACACAGGAUGCAGAAAGUCUUAUGAGGGUCCUGAGACCAAUGCGGAGAUCUGCAUAUAUCAUCCUGGAGCUCCUGUUUUCCAUGAAGGAUACAAAUACUGGAACUGCUGCUGUAUAAAAACCACCGACUUUAACGCCUUCCUGGACCAGAAGGGCUGUACAUCUGGAAAGCAUUGCUGGAUCCCCAAACAGGAUAAAAAGAAGGUGGCCUGUCGACAUGAUUGGCAUCAGACUGGAAGCCAGGUUGUUGUCACGAUCUACGCCAAAAACUGCAAUCCAGAUCAUUCCUAUGUGGAGGCCAACCGCACUGUGUUAACCUGCCACAUUCAGUUCGAAGGCGACAAAGUGUUCCAUAAGGACAUCCACUUAUGGGGGGUGAUUGACGUAAAGAGCAGUUUGGUAAACAUGGUGCCGUCUAAGGUUGAGGUGAGCAUGAGGAAGGCUGAUGCUGUAGCCUGGGGGAAACUGGAGGACCCCAAACACAAACCCGAGCCAGAGCUCACCGACAACAUGAACAGCGCAGAGCAGGAGGAGGUCAAGCCCCAGUGGGACAUUUCAGACGACGACAUCAGCGAGUCUGACUGGGAGGACGAUGAAGAGGAGGAGGAGAAGAAAAAAGAAGAAAAACAGAAGGAAGAGUCCGGGGAUGGACCGCCUGAGCUAGAGCAGCCUGCUGAUGUCAAACAAGAGAAAUGAACAUUUAUACUGCAGUGUCAUGUUUACAAGCACAUAGGGGAUAUAUACAAAGCAGUCAGGCAUGUCAGGUUUUUUUUAAGCAAAUUUUCUCACACAGUUGUAUUUGUGAACAUAUUUUUGUGUUAAAAGUUGGAGAAGUCUUACAAUACCUUUUCUUUUAAUUUUGCAGUUUCAUCAAGAUUUUGAAAAUAAAUUCACUGUUAAGAAGUAGGAGUGAGAAAUUUUUAAGUUCAAGAUGUUUCAUUUUUGAAAGAAUUCUCGCACAGCAAGGCUGCAUUUAUUUAAAGAAACAUUCAAGAAGCAGGAUUAUUUACUGGAACUGGACCGGAAAUAAAAGUAUUCAGGUUACACUUCACUAUGUCUUUUUAGGUAAUCGUGAAGAUUAUAGCUAAGAUAUUUACAAUACAUUUGAUACAUUGUUAAUCUUU
This is a non-coding RNA of Danio rerio (zebrafish), 1807 nucleotides long. The record is from RefSeq and is a predicted model, not a curated record. Lineage: Eukaryota; Metazoa; Chordata; Actinopteri; Cypriniformes; Danionidae.